RNAcentral lists this ribosomal RNA (449 nucleotides) under uncultured bacterium. RNAcentral describes it as "partial 16S ribosomal RNA". It matches the Rfam family "Bacterial small subunit ribosomal RNA", at positions 354 to 796 of the family's 1533-position model. The record is from RNAcentral.
GUGGGGAAUCUUCCGCAAUGGACGAAAGUCUGACGGAGCGACGCCGCGUGAGUGAUGAAGGCCUUCGGGUCGUAAAGCUCUGUCAUCGGGGACGAACGGCCUCAGCAGGUAAUGGCUGGGGAUUGACGGUACCCGAGAAGGAAGCCACGGCUAACUACGUGCCAGCAGCCGCGGUAAUACGUAGGUGGCAAGCGUUGUCCGGAAUUAUUGGGCGUAAAGCGCGCGCAGGUGGGAUCUUAAGUCCAUUUUGAAAGUUCGGAGCUCAACUCCGUGAUGGGAUGGAAACUGGGAUUCUUGAGUACCGGAGAGGAAAGCGGAAUUCCCCGUGUAGCGGUGAAAUGCGUAGAUAUGGGGAGGAACACCAGUGGCGAAGGCGGCUUUCUGGACGGUGUCUGACACUGAGGCGCGAAAGCCAGGGGAGCGAACGGGAUUAGAAACCCCGGUAGUCC